GAUGGGCAAGCAAGAAUUUGGAACCGAGAGGGGGAACUGGUAAAUACACUAAUCAAACAUAAAGGGCCAAUCUUCUCUUUGAAGUGGAAUAAGAAAGGUGAUUAUCUUCUUAGUGGUAGUGUAGACAAAACCGCAAUUGUAUGGGAUGUAAAGUCAGGUGAAUGGAAGCAGCAAUUUGAAUUUCAUUCAGCUCCAACUCUUGAUGUUGAUUGGCGAAACAACAAUUCCUUUGCGACUUGCUCCACUGAUAACAUGAUUUAUGUUUGUAAAGUUGGAGAGAGUCGGCCUCUCAAAGCUUUCUCGGGACAUCAGAGUGAAGUCAAUGCAAUCAAGUGGGACCCCUCAGGCUCCUUGUUGGCGUCAUGCUCUGAUGACACCACAGCUAAGAUAUGGAGUGUGAAACAAGAUACCUGCUUGCAUGAUUUCAGAGAGCAUGCCAAGGAGAUCUAUACCAUCAGAUGGAGUCCAUGUGGCCCUGGUACAAGCAACCCAAAUCAACAGUUGUUGCUGGCAAGUGCUUCUUUUGACUCCACAGUGAAGCUUUGGGAUGUUGAAAUUGGCCGUCUUGUCCACAGCUUGAAUGGUCAUAGGGAUCCUGUUUACUCUGUCGCGUUUAGCCCAAACAGUGAGUACUUGGCUACUGGGUCAUUGGAUAGAUGCUUGAAUAUAUGGUCUGUGAAAGACGCCAAGAUCAUAAAAACAUACAGUGGAAAUGGUGGAAUCUUUGAAGUGUGCUGGAACAAAGAAGGCAGCAAGGUCGCAGCUUGUUUUGCAGACAAUGUGGUGUGUGUCUUUGAUGUUCGGAUGUAGGGUUGCAGAACAAACAUGGAAAAAGACCGUGUUGAACAAACAUGCAAUUGUAACAAGCAACGCGUGAAUGGUGGCAAAAGUGUGUUUGGUUGACUCAUGUAGAAUUGUAGAACAGCUGAUAUUGAACAAAUCAGUAUUUGUACCUUGUUGUAGAUAUGCAGAUAGGAUCAUGCUACUGACCUAGGUUUAGGUUUUGGUACAGCUGAAGCUGUAAAUUACAGCCAUUGUACUGUGUUGAAAGUGAGGAAGCUGCAGCCACAGUGACUUCUGUCGCAACUAUAUUUGUUGCCCAAAAUGUUGAUAUCAAGUUACAUUAAUUUAUU
Molecule: unclassified non-coding RNA, 1133 nt
Filed under: Hevea brasiliensis (rubber tree)
Lineage: Eukaryota; Viridiplantae; Streptophyta; Magnoliopsida; Malpighiales; Euphorbiaceae
Source: RNAcentral